AGCCGGAUAAGGCGCUCGCGCCGCAUCCGGCAACGAUGCCGACUGCCUGAUGCGACGCUGACCGCGUCUUAUCAGGCU
Small RNA from Shigella dysenteriae Sd197, 78 nucleotides. It matches the Rfam family "Nucleoid-associated noncoding RNA 4 (CssrE)". Rfam says of the family: In E. coli small RNA transcribed from repeated extragenic palindromic element (REP325) called nucleoid-associated ncRNA 4 (nRNA4) collaborates HU protein in condensing the DNA. The secondary structure but not the sequence of the RNA is important in nucleoid condensation. The record is from Rfam. Lineage: Bacteria; Pseudomonadati; Pseudomonadota; Gammaproteobacteria; Enterobacterales; Enterobacteriaceae.